GUGGAGCACUCAAGAGUGGGAUUAGUGCUCUGAUAAAAGACCCCAUAAAGCUCCCUAGCCCCUUUUCACUGUGUGAGGAUAUUAGCAUCCUUUGGCCUGAAAGAAGCCCUCACCUGACCUGCCAAUGCCUUGACCUCCAGUCUCCAGAACUGUGAGCAGUAUGUUUCUGCUCUUCAUAAGGCACUGGUCUGUGGUAUUUUGUCCUAGCAGCCCAAACAGACGAAGACAGUCUAUCUCUCCACCAGCCUGGCUGCUGGAGGGCAGCUGCUGUGUCCUAUACAUUUUUGAGUAAGACCCUACAUAAGCGAGUAGUUCAUUUAGGUUGCAUGAUUUUCUGGCUACAGAGGAUUUAAAUGACUUGAAUCUCCUAGGACACAUGAUUCUUCAGGCUUCCAGACAGGAAUCCUAACCUUCUAAUCUUCUCCACAGAGUGGCAAAUGCAGGGCUUAAUUGAGCUGUGUUAGGAUGAUAACCCAGGGAGCCUAAUAAAAUGAGGUGUAGGAUUACAGGCAGGGCUUGCUCUGUGAGCAAUUUUGAACUGUCAUGGGGAGGUGGUAAUACGGGAUGAGGGUGGGAGUUUCUGGAGCCAGUAUGCAUGACACCAGCCUGGAGAUCCAUUUAUAGAUCUAAUGGCGAUGGUUUGGAUGGACUCACUCAAAACAGUGCAUGCACAGAAAAGCUUGGGUUCUUCUGGAUGAAGCUAAGUGUUGUGGUUUUUUUUUUUCCUUUAACUUAAUGAUAAAACCCAAUGAAUCCUAGGACCUACCAAUAGUGGUGAAUUGGUUCACCACUUCACUGCUUGGAGGGAGGAGAGAGGAAUACCUCCAACAAGGAGGACAACUUUUCAUGGCACAUGCUGCUUAAUGUUCCCUAAACUGAGCUUCCCAUCCAGGGAGAGUGGACACCCUGACAGCAAGGAGCCCCCAGGGCAGGGUGUGAGGCAGAGCGGGAGUGUUGUUACCAUGCAGAUUCCUAGGCCCUGCCCAUCCAUACCUACUGAACUGGGGCUGCUGGGGGAGGGGAUGGGCAUUCAUAGCUUUUAGGUUUCCAGGGGACCCUGAGGCCUGCAGAAUGACAUUUGGCAUCUAUUGCCAGGACAGGCGAACACCCCAGUAGAUGGACCUUGGAAAAAAUGAGACAUCAAUGAGGUUCAAUAGUGUUACCUCACUCCCUCAGCUAGUGACCCUGCUGACUGAAAGUAGAGCUGCUAUUGAUUGAGCACUUGUGUGCCUCCUGAGUUAGGAACUAUUAUUGUCCCCUUUUACAGAUGACUAUGUUGAGGCACAGGGAGGCUUGAGUAACUGUUUCAAGAUGCUAGGGCUGAGGGUGGUGAACUCAGCAUUCAAACCUGGCCUGCUGAUUCCAUGCUGGCUCUUAACCCUACUCUACAUGGGCUUCUAUAAACUAGGGUGUCACGGAGCCCCCUGCAAGCUCUCUGCUGCUCCUUGCUGGGUGUCCUUGGAUGGCCCCUUCCCUCCUCCAGCCUGGGCUCCAUGACCCCAGGCUUCCCUGUGGGCCAGGGCUGGGGCUGGCUCCCAUACGUCCCCCCGGCCUGAGUCGCCUCUCCUGUACACCUGCUUCCGUGGUUCCACAGGAAACUGAGCUGUCAUCUAGGAUCUCACAUGGAGAUUGUGGCUGAGCUGGAAAAGGGAAGAACAUUCUCUAGAGACAGUUCCAUGCCAUACAGACCUUUGUCCCUGUUUUGAAGAGGAUUCAGUGUUUCCAAUUCUGUGAGGUACUGCUGUGUGGGUGAGAUACAGGCAUGGGGCUGCUGUCCUUGCUGUCGGAGACUGUGCAUGUCCCUUGUGGGCUCCCAUUGUCCCUACAUUCUGCUCUGGGUCAAUGCAGGUGAGAUGUCUGGAACUAUGUAUUCCCCCUUCCUCUUGGUCUGGCAGAGGCAGGCAAAGAGAGGUGCGGGUGAGAUUUGGGAGGUGGAGGAGAAAGGGAACACAUGCGUCCUUGGUGGUAGGUGAUGAUAGCUUAUGAGGGUCAGCUGCUUGGUGCUGUGGGCUGCUGAGAUAAUUUCUGGUGGCCUCUUUGCUCCCCAACUGUGCAGCCAUCAUGGAUGCCUCUAACUCUCCCUGUGAAAACCAUUUCCACGACUAAGUGGGAUACCUUGAGGGGAUGCAGCCUGAUAAGAGCUGGUGCGUAUGCUGGGCCACAUGCACCUGAGUGUGCCUAGGAGCUGGGGCGUGGUUACUGAUAUUUCUAUGGAAUGCACACAGGUACCUUCCCCUGCCCUCUUUGUGGAGAGGUGUGUGAAAGGCUCCAUGGGCCGCCCUGGAAUGUUACAGAGUCUCUGUGCCUACAGAUGAUUUUAUCAAUGUUUAACUAAACUUCCCUCGUAAAAUUGACAAGCAGUCUAAAAAUAUUCUGCUAAUAAGCCGUGGAUUGAUGAUCACACUAAUAACGUAAGCAGAAGGGACAAGAGGUAGCACGACUGGCAGAUAUACUCUUAGUGGGGACUUUCCUUGCUUCCACAUUAUGUUGUGAACAUACUGCUGAACUGGUGAGAGUUUAUAUAGUUGCAUCCUUAAUAAUCUUUUUUUAAAUUGUAUAACUUAAAAAUAGAUUUGAAAAUAAAAAUAAAUUUUAAAACGA
Long non-coding RNA from Felis catus (domestic cat), 2601 nucleotides. RefSeq lists it as uncharacterized. The record is from RefSeq and is a predicted model, not a curated record. NCBI's taxonomy places the organism in Eukaryota, Metazoa, Chordata, Mammalia, Carnivora, Felidae. The transcript is spliced from 2 exons.